Long non-coding RNA from Gordionus sp. m RMFG-2023, 1422 nucleotides. RefSeq lists it as uncharacterized. The record is from RefSeq and is a predicted model, not a curated record. Lineage: Eukaryota; Metazoa; Nematomorpha; Gordioida; Chordodea; Parachordodidae. The transcript has 3 exons.
UUUACAAGUUAUUAUAAAAAUUAUUCUUUUCAAUUUUCUAAUAAUUCAACAUGUUCCGUAAUUUUUUUGAUAGAUACGCGAGUUGAUAAACGUUUACGAUUGGCAAGAGAUUUUUUCUUAGAUGAUGCGGCACUUUGGGACAAAAUAGAUUCAAAGGUAUUUUCAAAAACUUCAGAAUUUUCAAGAUUUUCAGAAAGUGGCACUUCUUCAAAUUCCAUAAUGUCUGAAGAUGAGCGAGCUAAAUGUUUGCAAUAAAAAAACUGUAUUCGACCCAAUAGUUUUAUCUAGGAUGAAGCCUCAAGUUUACUCCAUGCAAGCAAGGGCGUCACUAGUAUAGUCGUGAUGGUUGAAUGUCGAAUUUGGCUCAAUUCACAGUCGAGUGCCGGAUAAAAUCUGUUACCAUUGAAGCGUAUAUUAGUUCUUUUUAUGGUUCAGCCGAUUUUUAGCCGGUUAAUUAUUGACUUAAAAGGCUAAAAAUAUAGUAAUUACUCAAUUAUGUUUACAAUAUCAUCGGACUCAAAAGGACUUUUUUUAAAUUUCAAAUCUCCCAAAGAUAACUAACUAGAUGAAGCUAUCACUAUAUGGCUAGAUAGUGUCCCUCCUGAUACACCUUUUCCCAUACUAGUGACGUACAAAACGUUUUUUUAACCCCUAAUAUCAAAAACAUUUACACAUUUAUCUUAUUCUUCAUCUCUUGAGAACAUUCAACGAUUUCAAUACAAAAAUAAAAUCGGAGGCCACGAACAAAAACCUGGAGAAUCUCUUAACCAAUGCACAACUUAGAAUGAUUUUAGGAUAUAGACUCGGCGAACUAGUUAACCCCCAUCAUUGCAUGAACUGCUUCCUAGCAAAUGCCAAGGAGGGAAGGCAUAUUUUAAUUGUAUCAAAUGUUAAGGCUGACAUCAGCGUAACUCCUUAAUAAACAACUUAUUAAACCUCCUAUUAAAAAAGGCUCGCAUACCUAAUAUUCUAGAACCCUGCAAUCUCUCAACUGAUGACUGCCUAAGACCCGACGAUCUGACCACUAUCCCCUGGUCCAUGGGCAAAACCCUUAUUUGGGAUUAUCAUGUGUCUCAUCCUUCCCAACUAAUAUUAAUAGCAACCGCUUACCUAAGACUAAAAAAUAAACAAAACAAAAGCCUCGGCAAUCUGAUAUUAUCAAUAGCAAUGUCUACCAGUGAACAGUUCGCUCCUAUAACUUCUAGUUAUUCCUAAUACAGAACAUAUAAAUCAAUAUUUUUAAAUUAAAAUAUUAUUUUUAAGGACCCAAUUAUGUUUUUCUUAAAAUUAUUUUUUUUUAAGUUUAUAUUUUUUUUUUGUUUUUCAAUUUUAUAUAUUAUAUAUGUACUAGUUUUAUAUUCACAUAAAAUAUUGUUGUUUCUAACUUAAUCUAAUUUUUAUAUAAAAUUUGAUCCAUAUAUU